Molecule: long non-coding RNA, 235 nt
Filed under: Phoenix dactylifera (date palm)
Lineage: Eukaryota; Viridiplantae; Streptophyta; Magnoliopsida; Arecales; Arecaceae
Description: long non-coding RNA (PDAC_LNC012480)
Source: RNAcentral
AAAUAUCUCAUUGGACAUGUUCUAAAAGGAAAUGAUCUUAAUCUAGUCCAUGGAGAUCAGAGAAGAAGUCUAAAGUUUUCUGUUUGAAAGACUUGAGUCAACUUCUAAGCAAAAAGGACAAGUUUAAGUUGAUUCUGAUAAGUUUUAUUCAAGGAACACAGUCAAAGAGUCGACCCCCGCAAAACAUGAGUCGACCCUUGUGUAGUUUAAAGCAAACAGAAAGUUUUUACCGCCU